CAGCAGCCGCGGGAAUACGUAGGGUGCAAGCGUUAAUCGGAAUUACUGGGCGUAAAGCGUGCGCAGGCGGUUAUGCAAGACAGAUGUGAAAUCCCCGGGCUCAACCUGGGACCUGCAUUUGUGACUGUAUAGCUAGAGUACGGUAGAGGGGGAUGGAAUUCCGCGUGUAGCAGUGAAAUGCGUAGAUAUGCGGAGGAACACCGAUGGCGAAGGCAAUCCCCUGGACCUGUACUGACGCUCAUGCACGAAAGCGUGGAGAGCAAACAGGAUUAGAUACCCCAGUAGUCCCUGUCUCUUAUAC
Molecule: ribosomal RNA, 301 nt
Filed under: uncultured bacterium
Lineage: Bacteria
Description: partial 16S ribosomal RNA
Rfam family: Bacterial small subunit ribosomal RNA
Source: RNAcentral